UCUGACCGUGCAAAGGUAGCGUAAUCACUUGUUCUUUAAAUAAGGACUAGUAUCAACGGCAUCACGAGGGUUAUACUGUCUCCUUUCUCCAAUCAGUGAAACUGAUCUUCCCGUGAAGAAGCGGGAAUAUAGUUAUAAGACGAGAAGACCCCAUGGAGCUUUAAAUUCUAUAGCAACUCAAUUAAAUAAUCCCUCACAGUAUAUAGAGCCAUGCGUAUUAAUUUUAGGUUGGGGUGACCGCGGAGUAAAAACUAACCUCCACGACGAAAAGAACUAAAUCUUUAUCUGAGAGCCACAGCUCUAAGAAUUAGUAAACUAACGAUAAUGAUCCGACAAUCGAUCAACGAACCAAGUUACCCUGGGGAUAACAGCGCAAUCUACUUUAAGAGCCCAUAUCGACAAGUAGGCUUACGACCUCGAUGUUGGAUCAGGGUAUCCCAGUGGUG
Molecule: ribosomal RNA, 446 nt
Filed under: Zhangixalus arvalis (farmland green treefrog)
Lineage: Eukaryota; Metazoa; Chordata; Amphibia; Anura; Rhacophoridae
Description: partial large subunit ribosomal RNA
Rfam family: Bacterial large subunit ribosomal RNA
Source: RNAcentral